Molecule: ribosomal RNA, 497 nt
Filed under: uncultured bacterium
Lineage: Bacteria
Description: partial 16S ribosomal RNA
Rfam family: Bacterial small subunit ribosomal RNA
Source: RNAcentral
GACGAACGCUGGCGGCGUGCCUAAUACAUGCAAGUAGAACGCUGAAGAGAGGAGCUUGCUCUUCUUGGAUGAGUUGCGAACGGGUGAGUAACGCGUAGGUAACCUGCCUUGUAGCGGGGGAUAACUAUUGGAAACGAUAGCUAAUACCGCAUAACAAUGGAUGACACAUGUCAUUUAUUUGAAAGGGGCAAUUGCUCCACUACAAGAUGGACCUGCGUUGUAUUAGCUAGUAGGUGAGGUAAUGGCUCACCUAGGCGACGAUACAUAGCCGACCUGAGAGGGUGAUCGGCCACACUGGGACUGAGACACGGCCCCGAAUCCUACGGGAGGCAGCAGUAGGGAAUCUUCGGCAAUGGGGGCAACCCUGACCGAGCAAAGCCGGGUGAGUGAAGAAGGUUUUCGGAUCGUAAAGCUCUGUUGUAAGUCAAGAACGGGUGUGAGAGUGGAAAGUUCACACUGUGACGGUAGCUUACCAGAAAGGGACGGCUAACUACGUG